RNAcentral lists this ribosomal RNA (497 nucleotides) under uncultured bacterium. Its description in RNAcentral is "partial 16S ribosomal RNA". It matches the Rfam family "Bacterial small subunit ribosomal RNA", at positions 28 to 507 of the family's 1533-position model. The record is from RNAcentral.
GAUGAACGCUGGCGGCGUGCCUAAUACAUGCAAGUCGAGCGAACAGAUGAGGAGCUUGCUCCUCUGACGUUAGCGGCGGACGGGUGAGUAACACGUGGAUAACCUACCUAUAAGACUGGGAUAACUUCGGGAAACCGGAGCUAAUACCGGAUAAUAUAUUGAACCGCAUGGUUCAAUAGUGAAAGACGGUUUUGCUGUCACUUAUAGAUGGAUCCGCGCCGCAUUAGCUAGUUGGUAAGGUAACGGCUUAUCAAGGCAACGAUGCGUAGCCGACCUGAGAGGGUGAUCGGCCACACGGGAAAUGAGACACGGUCCAGACUCCUACGGGAGGCAGCAGUAGGGAAUCUUCCGCAAUGGGCGAAAGCCUGACGGAGCAACGCCGCGUGAGUGAUGAAGGUCUUCGGAUCGUAAAACUCUGUUAUUAGGGAAGAACAAAUGUGUAAGUAACUAUGCACGUCUUGACGGUACCUAAUCAGAAAGCCACGGCUAACUACGUG